Molecule: ribosomal RNA, 431 nt
Filed under: uncultured bacterium
Lineage: Bacteria
Description: partial 16S ribosomal RNA
Rfam family: Bacterial small subunit ribosomal RNA
Source: RNAcentral
AACGAACGCUGGCGGCAGGCCUAACACAUGCAAGUCGAGCGCCCUUUCGGGGGAGCGGCGGACGGGUGAGUAACGCGUGGGAAUAUGCCCUUCUCUACGGAAUAGCCUCGGGAAACUGAGAGUAAUACCGUAUACGCCCUGUGGGGGAAAGAUUUAUCGGGGAAGGAUUAGCCCGCGUUGGAUUAGGUAGUUGGUGGGGUAAUGGCCUACCAAGCCGACGAUCCAUAGCUGGUUUGAGAGGAUGAUCAGCCACACUGGGACUGAGACACGGCCCAGACUCCUACGGGAGGCAGCAAUGGGGAAUCUUAGACAAUGGGGGCAACCCUGAUCUAGCCAUGCCGCGUGAGUGAUGAAGGCCUUAGGGUUGUAAAGCUCUUUCAGCUGGGAAGAUAAUGACGGUACCAGCAGAAGAAGCCCCGGCUAACUCCGUG